CCGGCGCACGGGUGAGUAACACGUAUCCAACCUGCCGUCUACUCUUGGACAGCCUUCUGAAAGGAAGAUUAAUACAAGAUGGCAUCAUGAGUCCGCAUGUUCACAUGAUUAAAGGUGUUCCGGUAGACGAUGGGGAUGCGUUCCAUUAGAUAGUAGGCGGGGUAACGGCCCACCUAGUCUUCGAUGGAUAGGGGUUCUGAGAGGAAGGUCCCCCACAUUGGAACGGAGACACGGUCCAA
This 239-nucleotide ribosomal RNA is filed under the name uncultured bacterium. RNAcentral describes it as "partial 16S ribosomal RNA". It matches the Rfam family "Bacterial small subunit ribosomal RNA", at positions 95 to 334 of the family's 1533-position model. The record is from RNAcentral.